RNAcentral lists this long non-coding RNA (1296 nucleotides) under Marmota monax (woodchuck). Lineage: Eukaryota; Metazoa; Chordata; Mammalia; Rodentia; Sciuridae. The record is from RNAcentral.
CCUGCCUCAGCCUCCCGAAAUCACUGGGAUUACAAGCAUGCACCACCACAUCUGGUGAGUUUUGGCAUUCCUGAAUAUGGGCAUGCAUUUAACUUCACUGAGGUUAUUUCCUCAGCCUGCCUGCCAUCCACUAAUAGUGUUAGAUAAUAUUGAAAGGCAUUUGUUCAAAGUUUCAUGAAUUCUAAAGUAUCAACCAAAGUGCUGUUAACCCUCUCUGAUUAAUAUUGUGUUCCUGAUGUGGGAACCCUGCCCUCUGCUGUUGUACUGUUGUCAUUACAUUUAUUGGUCCGAGCCUUUGAUUCUGGCAGUGGCCUUCUCCAGAAAGUGUUGCUUGUUUGUUCAGUUUAUUUCUAAGGAAACAGUAAGUCAGCAGGUCAUUAAGGCUGGCUGUUGCCAUGGUGGAAUGGAACCAACAGAGAAAGGAAGGCUAAACAUCUGAGUUUUCGUAAUAUGGACUUCCAUUCUGUCUCCAUUCUGACUUCCAUUCUUUCUCCCCUGAAGCAAAGUUCCUUAGUAAUGUUGCAGAGGAUGACCUCAUCAGUUUGUCCACUGGCCACUCUUCAGUCUUCCUCCUAUAUGACUUCACAAAUUGUACUAGAAGCACAGGUGAGCAUUCCUAAUCCAAAAUGCUCUAAAUCUAAAGCUUUUUAAUUGCCAACAUGAUAUCACUAGUAGAAAAUUCCAUACCCAAUUUCAUACGACUGAUCAUCAUCAAGAUGCAGACACACUAAAAAUAUUGUAUAAAACUACCUGCAGGCUUUGUUAUAAGGGUGAAACAUAAGCGAAUUUCAUGUUUCAACUCAGUUCACAUACCCCAAAUACCCAUCAUGCGUAUGCAAAUAGUCCAAAAUACAAAAUGCUUCUGCUCCCAAGUGUUUUAGAUAAGCAACACUCAAUCUGGAAUAGUUGAAAAAAGUGAAUCAAAGUCAGGCUGCUUGAGCUUACAUCCCAGCUUCACUUACCGGCCACCUGAACGUGAGUCAGCAGUGUAAUCUCUCUGCCGCAGUUUGCUCAUCUGUGAAAGGGGAAAUAUUUUCUGCCUCCAAAAGUUGUUAUGCAGAUUAAAUUCAAUCAUCUAUCUAUUCACAGUCUAAGGUCAUGGUUAGGACUUGAUAGAUAUUAGCAUUUGUCAUAGUGUCUCUCCCUUUUAAAAUAUUCUCUUCCCUUGACUUCCAGAACAUUACACACUUCUUGUUUUCUCCCAUCUCUUUAGUAAUUCCAGUUUGCUUAUCCUCCUUUGAUAUUACUCUUCCUCCAGGUGCACUCUGUUUUCUCCCUAGAAGUUCUUCUGAACAC